This 148-nucleotide signal recognition particle RNA is filed under the name Homo sapiens (human). RNAcentral's name for it is "Metazoan signal recognition particle RNA". It matches the Rfam family "Metazoan signal recognition particle RNA". From Rfam's summary of the family: The signal recognition particle (SRP) is a universally conserved ribonucleoprotein. It is involved in the co-translational targeting of proteins to membranes. Lineage: Eukaryota; Metazoa; Chordata; Mammalia; Primates; Hominidae. The record is from Rfam by way of RNAcentral.
GCCGGGCAUGGUGGUGUGUGCCUGUAGUCCCAACUACUCGGGAGGCUGAGACAGGAGAAUUGCUUGAACCCAGGAGGUUGAGGAUGCAGUGAGCCGAGAUCGCGCCAUUGCACUCCAGCCUGGGUGAUAGAGCGAGAUUCUGUCUCAA